Molecule: ribosomal RNA, 253 nt
Filed under: uncultured bacterium
Lineage: Bacteria
Description: partial 16S ribosomal RNA
Rfam family: Bacterial small subunit ribosomal RNA
Source: RNAcentral
UACGUAGGGUGCAAGCGUUCAUCGGAAUUACUGGGCGUAAAGCGUACGCAGGCGGCUUUGCAAGACGGAUGUGAAAUCCCCGGGCUCAACCUGGGAACUGCAUUUGUGACUGCAUGGCUAGAGUUUGUCAGAGGGGGGUGGAAUUCCACGUGUAGCAGUGAAAUGCGUAGAGAUGUGGAGGAACACCGAUGGCGAAGGCAGCCCCCUGGGAUGUGACUGACGCUCAUGUACGAAAGCGUGGGGAGCAAACAGG